UACGAAGGGGGCGAGCGUUGUUCGGAAUCACUGGGCGUAAAGGGUGCGUAGGCGGCGAUGAAAGUUAGAUGUGAAAGCCCCAGGCUCAACUUGGGAAUUGCAUUUAAAACUACAUCGCUCGAAUCUCGGAGAGGAUAGCGGAAUUGUCAGUGUAGCAGUGAAAUGCGUAGAUAUUGACAGGAACACCAGUGGCGUAAGCGGCUAUCUGGACGAGUAUUGACGCUGAGGCACGAAAGCGUGGGGAUCAAACAGG
Molecule: ribosomal RNA, 253 nt
Filed under: uncultured bacterium
Lineage: Bacteria
Description: partial 16S ribosomal RNA
Rfam family: Bacterial small subunit ribosomal RNA
Source: RNAcentral